UCCUUCAGACUUAUUUUUCAAUAAAUGCUUCUAGGCAGCAUUAGCAUGGCUAAAACCCUUCAGCUUUAGGGGAGCUCCACCCCCCACCAUUUUAAGCAUUUUUCUU
Thalassophryne amazonica is the source of this 106-nucleotide long non-coding RNA. RefSeq lists it as uncharacterized. Lineage: Eukaryota; Metazoa; Chordata; Actinopteri; Batrachoidiformes; Batrachoididae. The record is from RefSeq and is a predicted model, not a curated record. The transcript has 3 exons.